AAGUUGCUUAGAAAGGCUCCUUAGAGCGCCACGUCAUCCUUCCAUGUUCCUUUUUCCACCACGUGUCCUCUCACCCAAACGAUACUUCUCAUUGUUUCAUUACUUCCUUUCGUGUAUUGGACUUUAAUAAUACGCAGGCCUGUCGAAGCUCAAAAAUGGUUUGCCCCAUAUCUCAUCUUCUUCGUCGGCUGACAUACCGGACGUUUAGCCUCCAUGAAACCACCGUCAUAACAUUUCUCUUCAGAUUUCACCAUAAAGAUUUUCCUUUAUGUCCGUCCUUUCCAGCUAAUCCUACGACAUGCUGAUUUCUAAACAGUUCUCUAUCAGUGGGAAGAAUAUUGAUGUUUGAUUCUCUAUCAGCGGAAAGAAUGGUUUCAUGAUAUGUCGUCCUCUUCUUUGAUAUUGCUGUUUUGGUUCUGAAAAUUUCGCAGAGAUUCAGUCCCACAUGUAUUCCAUUUGAUUCGGUCUAUGAAUUUAUUGAUUCUUUUCGUUUUUGUUAGGGAAAAGUUAUUAAGUCAGGGCAUGCUGCCAAAUUGUUGAUAGAGGCGCUGCUUCAGCGGUUCUUGGCUCUCGCAAGACGAUGAAUUGAGGCUGCUCAAGCUCAGGGAGAAACUGUUACAAUAGAAGUACGAUCGUAAGGAUAUUUGGAACCUCCUCUGCAGCUGAAGAAAUCAUAAGCUUGACAGUUCAAUUUUCUUACACACAGCUCUUCAUGAUGAGACUUCGUCGACUCUGCUUCUGGUGAGUUUAGCUUUCAUUCAUAAACAGAGGAAUAACAAAGGAAAAGUUUGACUCUUGAGAUUCAAGUUCCGUGAGCUUCAGUAGAUACAAUAGGAUAUUAGACAGUACGAGUACAAGAAACAGGCGGUUAUAGCGUAAGAAGGGCAACAGCGGGUCGUGAUGGAGCUUGAUACGACAUGGAGUGUCAUUGCAGAUCUAAAACUGGAACUAGCAUUGGCCGAGCAAACCAAGACUCUCAUCUUGCAAAGCUUAGAGUGGAGGAAAUGGAGCAAGGGAUAACUAACGAGUCGAGUGUUGCAGCCAAAACACGGCUUGAGGUGGAUAAGCGAGACAUUUGUCAGCAGCUAGGAAAUGAAAGAGAAGAGAUAAAUGGUCUCUAACUUACAAAAGUUAAGUCCAAUAUUGAAAAAGCAAUUUAUGUCAUUUUAUAAGGAUUUAUGACAUCUAAAUGAUUUUAAAAGGUGUUUUUAAAAACUUUACAAAACGGUAUGAAUAUCAGAUUAGUUUGUAAAUGAUUUAUGAACUUUACAAAUGAUUUAGUAUCUUUUUAAAAAUAUUUAUAGAUCUUUA
Long non-coding RNA from Brassica napus (rape), 1311 nucleotides. RefSeq lists it as uncharacterized. NCBI's taxonomy places the organism in Eukaryota, Viridiplantae, Streptophyta, Magnoliopsida, Brassicales, Brassicaceae. The record is from RefSeq and is a predicted model, not a curated record. The transcript is spliced from 2 exons.